CGUCAGGGCCCGCGGAAUGUUGACAGGCCAACCCCGCCAGGGCCGGAAGGCAGCAACGGUAACUUGCUCGCAUCUGCCGCGGUCACCCUGGCACUU
This 96-nucleotide signal recognition particle RNA is filed under the name Verrucomicrobiota bacterium. RNAcentral describes it as "Verrucomicrobia bacterium (groundwater metagenome) signal recognition particle sRNA small type". It matches the Rfam family "Bacterial small signal recognition particle RNA". Rfam says of the family: The signal recognition particle (SRP) is a universally conserved ribonucleoprotein involved in the co-translational targeting of proteins to membranes. Archaeal SRP consists of a 7S RNA and homologues of the eukaryotic SRP19 and SRP54 proteins. Lineage: Bacteria; Pseudomonadati; Verrucomicrobiota. The record is from RNAcentral.